GGGGGGACGCAGUAGGAUAGGCGAAGCGUGCGAUUGGAUUGCACGUCUAAGCAGUAAGGCUGAGUACUAGGCAAAUCCGGUACUCAUUAAGGCUGAGCUGUGAUGGGGAGAAGACAUUGUGUCUUCGAGUCGUUGAUUUCACACUGCCGAGAAAAGCCUCUAGAUAGAAAAUAGGUGCCCGUACCGCAAACCGACACAGGUAGUCAAGAUGAGAAUUCUAAGGUGAGCGAGCGAACUCUCGUUAAGGAACUCGGCAAAAUGACCCCGUAACUUCGGGAGAAGGGGUGCUCUUUAGGGUUAACGCCCAGAAGAGCCGCAGUGAAUAGGCCCAAGCGACUGUUUAUCAAAAACACAGGUCUCUGCUAAACCGUAAGGUGAUGUAUAGGGGCUGACGCCUGCCCGGUGCUGGAAGGUUAAGAGGAGUGGUUAGCUUC
This 434-nucleotide ribosomal RNA is filed under the name Staphylococcus simiae. Its description in RNAcentral is "bacterial LSU rRNA". It matches the Rfam family "Bacterial large subunit ribosomal RNA", at positions 1466 to 1897 of the family's 2925-position model. Lineage: Bacteria; Bacillati; Bacillota; Bacilli; Caryophanales; Staphylococcaceae. The record is from RNAcentral.